This 443-nucleotide ribosomal RNA is filed under the name uncultured bacterium. RNAcentral's name for it is "partial 16S ribosomal RNA". It matches the Rfam family "Bacterial small subunit ribosomal RNA", at positions 338 to 795 of the family's 1533-position model. The record is from RNAcentral.
CCUACGGGUGGCAGCAGUGGGGAAUAUUGCACAAUGGGGGAACCCCUGAUGCAGCAACGCCGCGUGAAGGCAGACGGUUUUCGGAUUGUAAACUUCUAUCAAUAGGGAAGAAACAAAUGACUGUCCCUAAAUACGACGCCCCGGCUAACUACGUGCCAGCAGCCGCGGUAAUACGUAGGGGGCAAGCGUUAUCCGGAUUCACUGGUUGUAAAGGGAGAGUAGGCGGCAAGGUCAGCGAGAUGUGAAAGCCUUAAGCUUAACUUAAGGAUGGCAUAACGAACUAUCUAGCUAGAGGACAGGAGAGGAAAGCGGAAUUGCUAGUGUAGCGGUGAAAGGCGUAGAUAUUAGGAAGAACACCAGUGGCGAAGGCGGCUUUCUGGACUGAAACUGACGCUGAGGCUCGAAGGCGUGGGGAGCGAACAGGAGUAGAUACCCUGGUAGUC